Long non-coding RNA from Helianthus annuus (common sunflower), 318 nucleotides. RefSeq lists it as uncharacterized. The transcript has 2 exons. The record is from RefSeq and is a predicted model, not a curated record. NCBI's taxonomy places the organism in Eukaryota, Viridiplantae, Streptophyta, Magnoliopsida, Asterales, Asteraceae.
CUUUGUUUCUGUUUUUUAGAGAGAGAAAGCUAAUGUUUUGGAAGGAGAGACAACAAUUUUCAUGUUGUUCACCUAGACACCAAGAACACACGCACAAGUGUGUGAGAGAGAAACAGGUGAAAAGAUGUUUUGUGUUCAAGAUGAAGAUGGUUAUCAAGAAGCGAAACCCGCCGAAUGAUUACAACGCAUCAUCAGGUUUUCGUGGUGACGAUGGUGUGUUUUUUGGUUGGCUGCUAUGUGUUAUGAAGAUGGAUGUAGUUGUGAAGACCAUUUUUAGAAGCAUUACAACUAUUGAUAUAAAAUUCAUUUUUAUUUUCA